RNAcentral lists this ribosomal RNA (483 nucleotides) under uncultured bacterium. RNAcentral's name for it is "bacterial SSU rRNA". It matches the Rfam family "Bacterial small subunit ribosomal RNA", at positions 30 to 508 of the family's 1533-position model. The record is from RNAcentral.
AUUGAACGCUGGCGGCAUGCCUUACACAUGCAAGUCGAACGGCAGCGCGGGGCAACCUGGCGGCGAGUGGCGAACGGGUGAGUAAUAUAUCGGAACGUACCCUGGAGUGGGGGAUAACGUAGCGAAAGUUACGCUAAUACCGCAUACGAUCUAAGGAUGAAAGCAGGGGACCGCAAGGCCUUGUGCUCCUGGAGCGGCCGAUAUCUGAUUAGCUAGUUGGUGGGGUAAAGGCCUACCAAGGCAUCGAUCAGUAGCUGGUCUGAGAGGACGACCAGCCACACUGGAACUGAGACACGGUCCAGACUCCUACGGGAGGCAGCAGUGGGGAAUUUUGGACAAUGGGCGAAAGCCUGAUCCAGCAAUGCCGCGUGAGUGAAGAAGGCCUUCGGGUUGUAAAGCUCUUUUGUCAGGGAAGAAACGGUGGAGGCUAAUAUCCUCUGCUAAUGACGGUACCGGAAGAAUAAGCACCGGCUAACUACGUGC